GAUGAACGCUGGCGGCGUGCUUAACACAUGCAAGUCGAACGAUGAAGCCCAGCUUGCUGGGUGGAUUAGUGGCGAACGGGUGAGUAACACGUGAGUAACCUGCCCUUAACUCUGGGAUAAGCCUGGGAAACUGGGUCUAAUACCGGAUAGGAGCGUCCACCGCAUGGUGGGUGUUGGAGAGAUUUAUCGGUUUUGGAUGGACUCGCGGCCUAUCAGCUUGUAGGUGUGGUAAUGGCUCACCAAGGCGACGACGGGUAGCCGGCCUGGGAGGGUGACCGGCCACACUGGGACUGAGAGACGGACCAGAGUCCAACGGGGGGCAACAGGGGGGAGUAUGGCACAGUGGGCGCAAGCCUGAUGCAGCGACGCCGCGUGAGGGAUGACGGCCUUCGGGUUGUAAACCUCUUUCAGUAGGGAAGAAGCGAAAGUGACGGUACCUGAAGAAGAAGCACCGGCUAACUACGUG
This 466-nucleotide ribosomal RNA is filed under the name uncultured bacterium. RNAcentral's name for it is "partial 16S ribosomal RNA". It matches the Rfam family "Bacterial small subunit ribosomal RNA", at positions 28 to 507 of the family's 1533-position model. The record is from RNAcentral.